CAGGUGUGUCUGCAGAGCCGCCCGGGCCCUCGCUGUGUGCACGGCGCGCUGCCCUGCGGGCACAGAGGUGUCCAUGGCACGGUGGGUCCCAGCCCGGCCCCCCACCCCCGGCUCUCCGCAGUGUCUCAGCCCACUCUGGCUGCAGCUGCCCCAGCAGUGUGGUGUUUCUGCUCCAGCCCCGCUCCCACAGCCCACCAUUAGGAGGUGAUGGACCCCGCAGCGCUGUUGGCCACCCGCUCCGUUCCCUCGGUGUCCUCUGAGCUCACCACAGCUGUGCACACCGUGCUGACGUUCUGCUCUCCCUGUGCUGUGCUGGGCUGCUGCUGGGGCGCUUCUCCUUCAGUGCUGCCCUCCCUUUUCUCCACAUCAUUCCUGUUUUGUUCUGCUUUCAGCCUCUUGGCUGGUGGCUUUUCUCCUCCUCCUGCA
This 426-nucleotide long non-coding RNA is filed under the name Gallus gallus (chicken). Lineage: Eukaryota; Metazoa; Chordata; Aves; Galliformes; Phasianidae. The record is from RNAcentral.